GACGAACGCUGGCGGCGUGCUUAACACAUGCAAGUCGAACGAUAAAGCCGUGCUUUUGUCGUGGGUUAGUGGGGCACGCGGGAGAGAUACGCGAGUGAACUCCCUCUGUCACUGGGGUAUAACUGGAGGAAAGGGUGGAAUAUAGCGGACGACAACUCCCGGCGCGGGGUGUGGGUGGAAAAGGUUCGGGGGUGGUUUUAGAUGGGCCGGCGGCUUAUCAGCUUGUUGGGGAGGUAGUGGCUUACCAAGGCGACGACGGGUAGCCGGCCUGAGAGGGUGACCGGCCACACUGGGACUGAGACACGGCCCAGACUCCUACGGGAGGCAGCAGUGGGGAAUAUUGCACAAUGGGCGCAAGCCUGAUGCAGCGACGCCGCGUGAGGGAUGACGGCCUUCGGGUUGUAAACCUCUGUUAGCAUCGAAGAAGCGAAAGUGACGGUAGGUGCAGAGAAAGCGCCGGCUAACUACGUG
Molecule: ribosomal RNA, 471 nt
Filed under: uncultured bacterium
Lineage: Bacteria
Description: partial 16S ribosomal RNA
Rfam family: Bacterial small subunit ribosomal RNA
Source: RNAcentral